GGUAGCAACCAUGAGGGAAAUAAACUCAGUAGUUAUCCUUGCUUCAGUACCAAAUGUGCAGCGCCCUGUGCUGCAGUCGGAAUGGAAACCUAUAUGCGCUUUCUUGCCAGAACUUGCCAAACAAGCUCUCAAGGUCUAUCUGUAGGACAACAUAGGGUGGUUAAGCUUCUAAGACUACAGACACAUCCAAAUGAAGUGCUGCCUAUGGCAGUCUGGCUUUCUUU
Bison bison bison is the source of this 224-nucleotide unclassified non-coding RNA. Its record names the gene 7SK. It matches the Rfam family "7SK RNA". Rfam says of the family: 7SK was discovered as an abundant small nuclear RNA in the mid-70s but a possible function has only recently been suggested. Two independent studies have found that 7SK RNA binds the CDK9/cyclin T complex (known as elongation factor P-TEFb). The record is from Ensembl. Lineage: Eukaryota; Metazoa; Chordata; Mammalia; Artiodactyla; Bovidae.